GACGAACGCUGGCGGCGUGCCUAAUACGUGCAAGUAGAACGCUGAAGGAGGAGCUUGCUCUUCUGGAUGAGUUGCGAACGGGUGAGUAACGCGUAGGUAACCUGCCUGGUAGCGGGGGAUAACUAUUGGAAACGAUAGCUAAUACCGCAUAAGAGUAGAUGUUGCAUGACAUUUACUUAAAAGGUGCAAUUGCAUCACUACCAGAUGGACCUGCGUUGUAUUAGCUAGUUGGUGGGGUAACGGCUUACCAAGGCGACGAUACAUAGCCGACCUGAGAGGGUGAUCGGCCACACUGGGACUGAGACACGGCCCAGACUCCUACGGGAGGCAGCAGUAGGGAAUCUUCGGCAAUGGACGGAAGUCUGACCGAGCAACGCCGCGUGAGUGAAGAAGGUUUUCGGAUCGUAAAGCUCCGUUGUAAGAGAAGAACGAGUGUGAGAGUGGAAAGUUCACACUGUGACGGUAUCUUACCAGAAAGGGACGGCUAACUACGUG
This 495-nucleotide ribosomal RNA is filed under the name uncultured bacterium. RNAcentral describes it as "partial 16S ribosomal RNA". It matches the Rfam family "Bacterial small subunit ribosomal RNA", at positions 28 to 507 of the family's 1533-position model. The record is from RNAcentral.